Molecule: ribosomal RNA, 485 nt
Filed under: uncultured bacterium
Lineage: Bacteria
Description: partial 16S ribosomal RNA
Rfam family: Bacterial small subunit ribosomal RNA
Source: RNAcentral
GAUUGAACGCUGGCGGCAUGCUUUACACAUGCAAGUCGAACGGCAGCGCGGGCUUCGGCCUGGCGGCGAGUGGCGAACGGGUGAGUAAUGCAUCGGAACGUGCCCAGUAGUGGGGGAUAGCCCGGCGAAAGCCGGAUUAAUACCGCAUACGACCUGAGGGUGAAAGCGGGGGACCGAAAGGCCUCGCGCUAUUGGAGCGGCCGAUGUCGGAUUAGCUAGUUGGUGGGGUAAAGGCUUACCAAGGCGACGAUCCGUAGCUGGUCUGAGAGGACGACCAGCCACACUGGGACUGAGACACGGCCCAGACUCCUACGGGAGGCAGCAGUGGGGGAUUUUGGACAAUGGGGGCAACCCUGAUCCAGCCAUGCCGCGUGCGGGAAGAAGGCCUUCGGGUUGUAAACCGCUUUUGUUCGGGAAGAAAUCCUCUGGGCUAAUACCCCGGGGGGAUGACGGUACCGGAAGAAUAAGCACCGGCUAACUACGUG